CCUACGGGGGGCAGCAGUGGGGACUAUUGCGCAAUGGGCGAAAGCCUGACGCAGCGACGCCGCGUGAGGGAUGAAGGUCUUCGGAUCGUAAACCUCUGUCAGCAGGGAAGAACGGUCACUGUGCUAAUCAGCAGUGAAUUGACGGUACCUGCAAAGGAAGCACCGGCUAACUCCGUGCCAGCCGCCGCGGUAAUACGGAGGGUGCGAGCGUUAAUCGGAAUUACUGGGCGUAAAGCGCUCGUAGGCGGUAUGUCAAGUCAAGGGUGAAAUCCCCGCGCUCAACGUGGGAACUGCCUUUGAAACUGGCAAACUGGAGUGUGUGAGAGGAUAGUGGAAUUCCAGGUGUAGGAGUGAAAUCCGUAGAUAUCUGGAGGAACAGCAGUGGCGAAGGCGACUAUCUGGCACAUAACUGACGCUGAGGAGCGAAAGCGUGGGUAGCAAACAGGAUUAGAUACCCUUGUAGUC
This 465-nucleotide ribosomal RNA is filed under the name uncultured bacterium. RNAcentral describes it as "partial 16S ribosomal RNA". It matches the Rfam family "Bacterial small subunit ribosomal RNA", at positions 338 to 795 of the family's 1533-position model. The record is from RNAcentral.